Long non-coding RNA from Daphnia carinata, 562 nucleotides. RefSeq lists it as uncharacterized. Lineage: Eukaryota; Metazoa; Arthropoda; Branchiopoda; Diplostraca; Daphniidae. The record is from RefSeq and is a predicted model, not a curated record. The transcript is spliced from 5 exons.
CUUGAGGUUAAGGUUCAACGUUAUAUUUCCCGUCCUACAUGAUUGUGCCCAAAGUUAAAUAGCCAAUCUAUGGCAUGUAUGGUUUCCUCAAAAUUUCCGAAAACCGUCAGCGAUCAGUGAGCGACAGCCACGUGCAUAACUUCGAUCGUAGAAUCUUCAGCUUAUAGAAGAUAAUGAAUUUCACAUGAAAGAAGAGGUGAAAACUCAAUUGGUGAAAUUGCUGAUAAAAACGAUGAAUCAUAUAUUGGAGGCUCAAACAAUGGAUCUUAUUCCUGAAGAAAAAAAUGAAAUGUAUUCACAUCAAAUCGCAUGCACUACUUGCAGAUAGUUCAAUUCAAGAAAAACGAACACAAAGUUAGAUUUUGCCUUGAUGGAACAGUCUGAAGAAUAGUCAGAGCAUUAAUCUAGAGAAAUCAUUCAAGUUGCCUAUGGAAGGUCAAAGAUGUUUAUACAAAGUGAAUACCACCUGGUGAUUUUUCUUGGAGAGAUUCUAUUGUUGUAGUGGACAGCUGUACCAGCUGAUCUUGUCUAGUGAAGUGUUUUAAAGGAAACAUGCAAAAUU